This 993-nucleotide long non-coding RNA is filed under the name Homo sapiens (human). RNAcentral's name for it is "HSALNT0350511". Lineage: Eukaryota; Metazoa; Chordata; Mammalia; Primates; Hominidae. The record is from RNAcentral.
AAUUCUGUUGGGACGGACUGUUUCUGUGGCAUUCUGGGGCUGUCGUUGGGGAAUUCUGUUGGGAUGGACUGUUUCUGCACCUGUCUGUUGGACAAGCAGUUAAGCCCCUCAUGAGUAGAGAGACCCUGCCUCGUCCAUCCUUGUGCCUCCAGGGUCUAGCCCCAUGCCUGCAUGGCCGCCAUUCCUGGACCUGGACUUGACAUCCUGUUCUGAGUUGCAGUAGUUGUUCCGUAGUUACAAAGCAGUGUGUGCACGGGGAGAGGGCAGUGGCAAGGGAGCACCUGCACAGGGCACCAGGCCUCUCCAGGGAUGUGGACAUGGGGGCUGGACUCCCAGCUGCAGACCUGCUGUGGGGUGCCUCUGAUCAGGACUUCGGGGUGCCUCUGAGCAGGACUUCUUCUGAAGCAAGACUAACGGGAGCCUGGAGGCGACGGGAGAAGCCUGUUCAGAGUCCCCGGGAUGAAGCGGGCCCCUAGUGAGCGGGACCUGCUGGCUAGCUGGGACCCCCCAUUCUCUCUGUGUCAAAUGGGCAUGCUUGCUCUUCCCUCUUGAAGUAUGGUGAGGAUUAAAUAAUGGAGAAGGUGUAGACAGCUCUAAAACCCAAUGAGUGCGGCUGUCGUCAAUAUGCAGGCCUCUCCGUAAACCAGCGUUAAAGAGCUCUGCAGAGUUUUGCAGACAGUGAGGAAGCCGUGUGCUUCCCGGCAUGCAUCCUUUAUAUGUUUCUCUGGGUGUUUGUUUCCAAUUAGAAUAAUCAAUUACACACUUGCCAGGUGUCUCAUGUAUGAGCCAGUUGGGAAGAUUAAAACUGGACAUUAAUGCAGCAAGAGGAGGUGCUUAACUCGUGUGAUAAGGUAGCAAAAACCAGGGUGAGAAUAAAACACUUUCGGGAAAACUAAACAGCGGACUCAGUAUCUGUCACCAAACUGUGGCCAGCGUGGUGAGGUGACAAGAACAGCCUUUCUGAUCAGUUUGGAGGUUAAAAAGACUUGUGGA